Molecule: ribosomal RNA, 454 nt
Filed under: uncultured Barnesiella sp.
Lineage: Bacteria; Pseudomonadati; Bacteroidota; Bacteroidia; Bacteroidales; Barnesiellaceae
Description: partial 16S ribosomal RNA
Rfam family: Bacterial small subunit ribosomal RNA
Source: RNAcentral
ACGGAAGGCAGCAGUGAGGAAUAUUGGUCAAUGGACGGAAGUCUGAACCAGCCAUGCCGCGUGAAGGAAGAAUGCCCUAUGGGUUGUAAACUUCUUUUGCCGCAGAGUAAUAAGUGGGAUGCGUCCCAUGAUGAGAGUAUGCGGCGAAUAAGCAUCGGCUAACUCCGUGCCAGCAGCCGCGGUAAUACGGAGGAUGCAAGCGUUAUCCGGAUUUAUUGGGUUUAAAGGGUGCGCAGGCGGCACGUUAAGUCAGCGGUGAAAUGCAGGGGCUCAACCCCGGCACUGCCGUUGAAACUGGCGAGCUCGAGUACGGAUGAAGUCGGCGGAAUGUGAUGUGUAGCGGUGAAAUGCUUAGAUAUGUCACAGAACACCGAUUGCGAAGGCAGCUGACUAAUCCGCAACUGACGCUCAGGCACGAAAGCGUGGGGAUCGAACAGGAUUAGAUACCCUGGUA